CCCACAGCCUCCCGAGCCUCAGCCAUCACCAUGUAAAUGCUAAUGAAUGACAAGCGCCACAGAGGACUUUCAUCUUACCAUUUGAAGAGGAAGUUGGCUCUGGACAUGGAACAAGGAUGGUUUCUGCCUUGCUUUGACACAACUAAUGGAGGCCACUGAAAUAAUCUUUCCCACUAGGAAGGCUGUCACAAGUCCCCUUCUCCAGAGAUCAUCUUGAAUGGGAAGAGAAGAGAGGUGACCUUUGCUAUGGAUGCAUGCACCACAAGUGUGAGGCCCCACGGUUGCCACCAGGAAUAGCUAUCUACCCAGGACCUGAUGAAGCGCUGUCCAGACAGCUCUGUAAUCCUAUACCAGCACACCAAUAUGUGUGCUAAACUGAUCAAUAAUAAGAUUGAUACAUCUUCUACUUGGGAAAGAAAGAAUGAAGGUCCGCAACCAACACCAAGCUCUGAGAAGUUGACUUGGAUGAUGUUCUACCCAGCUCUCAUCUAAAGGAGUAGAGUCCCCAAGCCAGAGGAAGCUGUCAGAGAGCUUCUCAGCUGUGAAGAUUCUAUGAGGUCCCAAAGGUUAAUGAUGCCAGUUACAGAAGCUUGACAGAGCAAAAGGGGAAGGAUGUGUCACUUGGCUGUGUGGCUGGCUGAUCUUAGGGAAUGAGAAAGCAAAUGUGAUGGAGGUGACCAAGGGGUGACAAUGCUUCACCACCAUCAUGAAGAGCAUACAGGGGACUGGGGGUCAGAGGGAAGUGAGGAUAGGGAAGUAGGGAGUGUGCUUGGUUUGGAAAAUGUAGAUUAUUGAUGCACCCUUGAGCUGUUUAGACAGAGGUGGCCAAAGACAGCUGGAGGAUGGUGACUUCAUAUUAGGAUUCAGGGCUGCCACACCACUCAGCUUCAGGAGUUACCUGUCCUCUUGUUUUCCAUGUGCCUAGUGCUUCUCAGAGUUGUGUAGUGUGGUGGCCUUGGGAAAGGGUCACUACUAAUAGUUUCAAGAAGCCUGAAAAUCAAUGCAACACAUCUACCUGCAUUCAGAAAAAAUAUCUCCUACUUUUGCUUGACUGAUGUAGGUCAAUAUAACACCCCUGCGGAACUCACAUCUCCACACAGGUAUGUGGACUAUGGUCACGCUCUUUCAUGGUACAUUAGCUGUACAUACACAGCCACACUGUCAGUUUCAGGACGGAGGUGGAAUACUCCAUCCUGUUUGGACAUCCCUUGCCCUCACAGCUCUGAAAGACUGCUGUUGCAACAUCUGCCCAGGUGUGUGUCAGCCUACCUAUGGGAACCUGAACCCCAAAGUCCUCUUGAGUGUGGUUAGUUCCUAUCAGCUCCAUUCCUAUCACUCCACAUCCCUUUCAUGUUUCUUUCCUGGAUAUAUUUUCCUUUAUAUUAUUCAAGAAACAUUAAAUAAAAGUU
This 1409-nucleotide long non-coding RNA is filed under the name Homo sapiens (human). RNAcentral's name for it is "HSALNT0324792". The record is from RNAcentral. Lineage: Eukaryota; Metazoa; Chordata; Mammalia; Primates; Hominidae.